This 58-nucleotide ribosomal RNA is filed under the name uncultured fungus. RNAcentral describes it as "partial 28S ribosomal RNA". The record is from RNAcentral. Lineage: Eukaryota; Fungi.
GAUCUCAAAUCAGGUAGGACUCACCCGCUGAACUUAAGCCAUAUCAAUAAGCGGAGGA